Long non-coding RNA from Suricata suricatta (meerkat), 2532 nucleotides. RefSeq lists it as uncharacterized. Lineage: Eukaryota; Metazoa; Chordata; Mammalia; Carnivora; Herpestidae. The transcript is spliced from 2 exons. The record is from RefSeq and is a predicted model, not a curated record.
CCCCCCUCCCACACCCCUCCAGCAACCCUGUGUUUGUUCUCCAUAUUUAAGAGUCUCUUAUGUUUUGUCCCCUUUUCUGUUGAGGAACCUAAGAGUUGUGGGGAACUUAAAAAUUAGACCUAAGCAAAUCGAAACUUAACUGGUCUGUGCUAUUUCUAUAACAGUAUGAGUCCCAGGGAAAAUGAAACUUAACCUGCCCCGCUUGUUCUGCUUCUGUACACACGCUUGGGGCGCUAUGUGAAGGGGGGGGUCAGCCAUGUGGCUCGACAUUGGGGCGGGGAGUACUGGAUGUUCAAAUUGUGGCGGGACACAAUCAGGGAAUGCCGAACGUCUGCUCUUAAAUAUCGGCCAAUGUAAGCGCUGUAACAAUGGAACGCCCCUGACUUGUUUGGGCAGGCCUAUGAAAAGGACGGGUGCCGCCUGCACGGGGCUCUCUGGCUCUCCCCACCGCACCAGCUUGGAGGGAGCAGAGGACCCAGGUUCGAACCUGCGAUAAGCGACCCUUGCUGUUUGGCUUUGACUCUGGACUCUGGUGGUUCACUUUUGGGGGGGUCUCCCGAGUUUCGGGCAUUACAUUUGGGGGCUUGUCUGGGAUUUUCUCCCUCAAAGCCCACCAGACCCCAAGUCAAUGGGUCAUUUCCGACACCGAUAGUUGUUUCCUCUAACCCCAAGGAGCAAAGACAAAGCUUUCACCCAGAAGCUCCUUGCCCGCGCCUCCCCGCACGAAUCCAGACAGCAGACAAGACAGUCCCUGGGCCUGAUCGGGACCGACAAAACACCGCCUGGACCUGACCAGGACAACAUCACUUGGACCGAGAUAAGACCUGCACCGACCAGCCAUUAUGCUCGCUACACUUGUCCUUCUCUUAGCCUUACACAUAUUGUCUGUAAAUCCCAACCCGCAUCAGCCCUUCAAUCUAACCUGGGUCAUCGUUAGCACCUACACAGGGGAUAUCCUAGCGCGAAAUUCCUCUGUAGCCCCCAAAAACACUUGGUUCCCAGACCUCACUCUCGACUUACAAGACCUUGAAUGGGAAAAGACUGACAGCUACAAUCCCGCCAGCUCCCUCUUAAAAGAACAAUGGUUUUAUGUUUGCCCCGGACAUAAGAACAGUAACCGGGCCUGGAGGCAAAAGUGCGGGGGAAAUGAUUACUUUUUCUGCGCAGCUUGGGCAUGUGUCAGCACCGGGGACAUCUGGUGGUCUCCACCUGUUAAGGAUGACUUAAUCACCAUCCGCAGGGCAGACUCAAGGCCUAAAGAUUACUUGAGGGCAGAUACACGAUGGAAAAAACAUUGCAGCCGUAACAAUAAAUGCAACCCAAUAGUUAUUUCCUUUACAGAAAAAGGAAAAUCUGACGGCCGAUGGGAAGCUGGCAACUCAUGGGGACUACGUAUGUACACUUCACGGCAAUCCCUCCCAGGAGCCCUUUUUACUAUACGGCUCCUCGUUCGACCAAUUACAACCAUUAGCGUAGGACCCAAUCAGAUAAUAAACAGGCCCGUAAGACUCCCCACACAGGCAAAUAGGCUGCGCCCCUCCACCUCAAUGCCACCGACCAAGCAGACCACCCACGCCACUGAAAUGACCAAGUUGUCCUACAGAACCGAAGGGGGUUAGAUCCGCUUUUUCUCCAGCAGGGAGGUCUAUGUGCAGCCUUAAAGGAAGAAUGUUGUUUUUAUGCUGACCACACGGGGGUGGUUCGAAAUUCUAUGGCCAAAGUCAGAGAGGGGCUAGCUAAACGAGAACGGGAACAACAGGGAUGGUCUGAAUCCUGGUUUAACCAGUCCCCCUGGCUAACAACGCUACUUUCUGCUGUAGCUGGACCCCUAAUCCUCCUAUUUCUCCUCCUAACUCUUGGACCGUGCGUUAUCAACAAAGUCACCACCUUUAUUCGUGACCAACUCAGCAACAUCUCAGUCAUGGUCCUCAGAACCCAAUAUCAACCCCUAGACAUAGAGACUGAACUACAAUAAAUCCGUAACAAAGGAUCCAAGACUGGAUCCUCCGGUACAAGAGACAGGGGGGAAUGAGGAACCUAAGAGUUGUGGGGAACUUAAAAAUUAGACCUAGGCAAACUGAAACUUAACUGGUCUGUGCUAUUUCUGUAACAGUAUGAGUCGCAGGGAAAAUGAACUUAACCUGCCCCGCUUGUUCUGCUUCUGUACACACGCUUGGGGCGCUAUGUGAAGGGGGGGGUCAGCCAUGUGGCUCGACAUUGGGGCAGGGAGUACUGGAUGUUCAAAUUGUGGGACACAAUCAGGGAAUGCCGAACGUCUGAUCUUAAAUAUCGGCCAAUGUAAGCGCUGUAACAAUGGAACGCCCCUGACUUGUUUGGGCAGGCCUAUGAAAAGGACGGGUGCCGCCUGCACGGGGCUCUCUGGCUCUCCCCACCGCACCAGCUUGGAGGGAGCAGAGGACCCAGGUUCGAACCUGCGAUAAGCGACCCUUGCUGUUUGGCUUUGACUCUGGACUCUGGUGGUUCACUUUUGGGGGUCUCCCGAGUUUCGGGCAUUACACUGUUUUUAUAGUA